AACCGCUACAGGAAUCUUUAUCCUUAUGAUUACAACCAAGUACGGCUGACCAAACUGCGCAGGGAUCCCCUCUCCACCUACAUCAACGCCAACUACAUCAAUGUCAAAUGCGACUCCUACUGGUUGGACGGAUAUAAUCUUGAUACUGGACUAUUUCUGAUUUCUGUCACCAUGAAGCAGCAGCGAUCGCACUGGAACUUCCGGACACUCAAAGCCACGUCUAAAGAG
Haliotis rubra (blacklip abalone) is the source of this 228-nucleotide long non-coding RNA. RefSeq lists it as uncharacterized. NCBI's taxonomy places the organism in Eukaryota, Metazoa, Mollusca, Gastropoda, Lepetellida, Haliotidae. The record is from RefSeq and is a predicted model, not a curated record. The transcript has 3 exons.